CUGAAUUUUAGGGCUAUAAGCCUAUGUUUGGUUUUUUCCAAGAUGUGCCUAAACAUGCUUUCCUAGCUUAAUCCAAUCCUGAUUAGAACAUAAAUCUGUUCUAAGAGGCUUGUCACGACCACCCUAUUAGCAUAUGACUUUAACCACGAUAGAUCUGAACACCUCUUAAGAUCAUGAAGUUUAAAACAGUAGAAAAGAGAAUGAAAUUAAACAUUUCUGCAAUGUUUUGAAAAAAAGGAUGUGACAUUUUCAAAGCAGCUCUCCCUCCUGCUUUUUUCCUUAGCAGUAUCUUCUACCCUCAACAUUAUGAAUGAAGUUCCCAGUUCGAGACCAAUUCUCGCCCAUCCCACUGGGACACACUCCCGGUGCCAUGUGUCUGCAGGAGCACCGAUCCGUCAUUUAGUUCGACUAACAUUCACCCACGCGGGCGGCUCAACUGUGAAUUUCACUUGAUACACACUGUAAAUGGCCU
Leopardus geoffroyi (Geoffroy's cat) is the source of this 472-nucleotide long non-coding RNA. RefSeq lists it as uncharacterized. NCBI's taxonomy places the organism in Eukaryota, Metazoa, Chordata, Mammalia, Carnivora, Felidae. The transcript is spliced from 2 exons. The record is from RefSeq and is a predicted model, not a curated record.